GGGCCGGUGAGCUCAGUCAGUUAGAGCAUGGUGCUGAUAACACCAAGGUCACGGGUUCGAUCCCCAUUCAGUCCC
Non-coding RNA from Apaloderma vittatum (bar-tailed trogon), 75 nucleotides. Lineage: Eukaryota; Metazoa; Chordata; Aves; Trogoniformes; Trogonidae. The record is from Rfam.